UGCAGCUCAGUGGGUAGAGCACUUGCCUGGCAUGCAUGAAGGCCCUGGGUUUGAUCCCCAGCA
Molecule: transfer RNA, 63 nt
Filed under: Marmota marmota marmota (Alpine marmot)
Lineage: Eukaryota; Metazoa; Chordata; Mammalia; Rodentia; Sciuridae
Also listed under: 3 other names
Rfam family: tRNA
About the family: Transfer RNA (tRNA) molecules are approximately 80 nucleotides in length.
Source: Rfam by way of RNAcentral